AACUUUGUCAUGAUCAGCUCUAGA
Molecule: non-coding RNA, 24 nt
Filed under: Cricetulus griseus (Chinese hamster)
Lineage: Eukaryota; Metazoa; Chordata; Mammalia; Rodentia; Cricetidae
Source: RNAcentral